Long non-coding RNA from Papaver somniferum (opium poppy), 1743 nucleotides. RefSeq lists it as uncharacterized. The transcript has 7 exons. Lineage: Eukaryota; Viridiplantae; Streptophyta; Magnoliopsida; Ranunculales; Papaveraceae. The record is from RefSeq and is a predicted model, not a curated record.
CUAACCGAACCCUUCAAUUUCAAGAUUACUCUUCAAUAGAAGGCGAAUUUAAGGAGGAAAAAAAAUCACCAAUCCAUGGCCUUCUCAUAUCCAUCUUUCCGAUUUCUGUUAUCAAUUUCUCAUCUCAAAUUUUUGCGAUUAAAUUCUUAAAAAACCGGCAGCUUUGAAUCACUUUUUCGCUGCAAAUUGUCUGAUCCAGUUCGAAUGGAGUAUCAAUUCAACCUCUUCAACACUAAUUAGGUUUGUUACUGAUGAAGUUUUUGGGGUCAGGAUUCCUAAUCGAAUUAGAUUGGUCAAUUGACAUCAAAAUGGAAGCGCAGGUCAAAUGCAACCCACCAAAGGUGGGCUUCUCAGCCAAACAGGAAAACUUCAAGUGCUUGCGAUCAGCGGAAGAAGGAAAGUCAAAUGCUGUCACAGUUUGAGUGACAAGGAAAUGGGAAGAGGUUAUCGUUGACGAGGAGGUGGAGCAAAUCAAAGAUAUUUCCAAGGAAGCUUGAAUUGUUUGAUCCUAGAUGUGAAAGAAGAUGCAGAAGCCUUAUAUAAAGUAGAAUGCAUGACUAUUCAUGGAGCAUCUUAUAAAUUUUUUUCCAACUGGAGGUAAUUCGGCUUCGUCUCUGAAGUAAGGGAUUCGUUGACCACUGCUUAUGAAAUUUUAGUAAAUAGACACUGCUUAUGAAAUUUUAGUAAAUAGACCAAUCUUCUCUUAUCUAUCAUUGUCGAUGUGUGCUCUGCCAGACCAAUGCCAUUACCUUCUAUAUUUGUCGAUUGUGUGGGUCAACACGGAGAAGUGUUAGGAAACCAAAAUACUUGAACAAAAUUAAAGUAUUUUGUUCCCCUGACAUCAAGACUUUAGUGUACCAAUGUUGUCUUGACAUUCCUAAAUAAAAGACCGAGUAACUUUCGAGAACUUAGGAUGGACAGUGGAGCUGCGGGUAUAGAUAUACUCCGGGACUAGGGUUUUGGAAAGGAAGAAGUAGAUUCGCAGUCAAAACUAUGCAUAAUAUUGAAUUAAUUACUUAUAUAUCUCAUUAGUUAAUUUCGCGCAUACUUGACUGCAGAGGCUAUAAUUAUUCUAAUGUCAUUGGUAGUGAAUGAUAAAGUGGAGCUAACGCCAUAUCUUUCCAAGAUAUCCAGAGGCAGCUCCGAACUGGGAUCACCUUCCAUUCAACAUCUUUGGAUUCUUCAUGGGAUUGACUGUUAGGAUCUAAUUAUAUUUACAAUAACACUUUCAUCAAGGGAGUAAAAUAUAUGGGUGAAGAGAUUCAAAGCUUCAAAGCGACAGGUUGCCUUGCUGAUGGUUGAAAAAGUAAUAGUAAGUUUGAAUUCAACAAAGUGAUUGGACAUCAGAUUCGUGGAGGAAUUCCAUGAGUGACCACAACGAAGAACAAAUCAGGAAAGUGCUCACUGAGUUCAACCAAUGCGGCACAGCCUCCCCACGAUCGGCAUGCGACGCAGAAAUGUAUUGCAAGUAAUUUCCAAGAAUAGGCAAAUUGAGCGCAGGUAAAUACCUAGCAGCCCUACACAUAGUAAUAAAUGUAAUAUGAUAUAUUCAUAAAAGUGCAUUUAAACAUACCCAGUCUUACUUCCAUGUUUAUAUUCAUGUUGUAUACUAAAGUCCUCUUAAGUUAUUGAUAUGGAGUAAGAACUCAGUUUUACAGUGGAAUGUGAAUACCCGCUGUAAAGCUCCAUGAAUAUGAGAAAAAAUGUAAGAAAAAUUGUAAAUUUGAGGCUGCUGCUUUUCUA